AAUAAAAUGGCUGAAGAUAAGUGAUAAAUUGUAAAUUUAUUUAUGAGAAUGAUAAUCUCUUUUAUUA
Molecule: transfer RNA, 67 nt
Filed under: Pachliopta aristolochiae
Lineage: Eukaryota; Metazoa; Arthropoda; Insecta; Lepidoptera; Papilionidae
Also listed under: 1 other name
Description: tRNA-Tyr
Source: RNAcentral